AUAAGCUACUUUCAUAAACUUUACAAGAUGAAUUAUAAUUACUACUUUUAGUUUUUGAAAUAUUUUCUUCGCAAGCUUCACAAAUGCUAGUAAAAAUUGAUGCCAUACCUAUUCGUUUUUCCGAAAGUUCCAACGAUUUCUGUCCACAUUCUGGACAUGCCAAAGGUUUUAUUAGAUAUUUCGGUGAUUCCAUAGAAACAAUUCUAUAUUCCGAUUCACAUUGAUUUGUAGAUGAAUAAUCAAAUGAUUGUUCAGAAAAAUAAUUAUGCUUCUUUAUUGCUGCUGAUUGACUUCAACAUUUUCAAAAUUAGAAACAAGAUCAAGACUCAUAAUUGACAAUUCAUUAUUUGUUGAUGUUUCCUCUAUGACUUUUUUUCGUUUUCCUCCCUUAAAUCCUCUUGAUUUGGAUGAUCUUUUACUUUUUCCAAAUGCUUCUGUCGUUUUACGUUACCAUAAUGAAAAAUUAAAAAUAAAUGAGCAAAAUCUGCUAAAAACUAUCUUUCAACACUCCAAAACAAAGUGGCACAUGGUAAUAUCGUCAGCAAAAGCAGAUCACAAUUGCACAUGCCCAGUGACAUCGGACCAAUGAACGUAGUGCAAAUUUCAAGUGUCCAAUAAGGAAUCGAGAAACAUCGGAAGACGACCAAUAAAAUGCCUUAUUACAACUAAUACACAUCUUUGUUCCCGAAAUAGACAACGAAGCGGGAAAGACAAAUUGAACAAGCUUUACAACGAUAUGCGACAUGCGCCGCCAUUUUGAAUAGAAACGAAGCAUGUCGGCGGCAAAUUUUGAUAAAAACAACGAUUUAGCAGACGACACAAGGGGAUAUUUAACUUAAUAUUUUAAUUAUGGAGUUAAUAUUUAGAUUUGCGACAUAAUUUUUAUAUCAAACGAUACAGGAGAAUUCACAGUUUG
This 916-nucleotide long non-coding RNA is filed under the name Androctonus crassicauda. The record is from RNAcentral. Lineage: Eukaryota; Metazoa; Arthropoda; Arachnida; Scorpiones; Buthidae.